UCAUAAUCAUGGGUGUUGUUGCUGUGCUCAUCCAUGUUGUAUGCAGUGCAUUUGAAGAUAUACUUGAAGCUGGCCACUUCAAAUCAAUUGCUGCUGGCACCGGUCGCCUGGCCAGAGCGCUUGCCAUUACUCUACUACUCAUAAUCUGCGUCCCAAAAAUUUGGUGGUUUCUUCUUUCGGCAUGGGUGUUGUUCUUUAUAUGGGUAACAUAUACUUUACGUGAGGAAUUGUCAAAAUUGUGUGAAUCGCUAUACAAUGCAGUUCGCCUUCGCCACGGCCAAGAGCCAAAUGAGUUGCCAGUGUAACCAUACCGAGCCAUUGAAGAGAAUUACGGUUGAUGAAAGACUGUAGUCUAUAUAUAUAUAUAUAUAAUUGCGUGGUGUGAUUGAAAUUACAAGUGCUAUUUUUACUAGUAUGGCCGCAACUUGGUAACGUUAUCUGUAAUAUAUUGUUUGAAUACUUGCUUUAAGAAAAAGAAAAUAAUCCAAAAUGCCUAUUUAAAGUAUGUAGAAGCUCCCGAGUUCUUGUUACUCUUUUUUAUCUUCACCAUCUCACAUCUCUCUUGCUACCUUCAACAAAAAAUUGUAGUUUAUUAUAUGUUGUUGACUUCCCUUUCCAUUAUUUAUCAAUUUUUAAUGGAUGGUGAUUUCUCUUUCUGCCUUAAUUAAUCAAUAUUUAUUAACGUAUUUGGAGUAAUUUAUUUAAUAGGAAAAUCAGGUUAAAAACGUAACUUAUUUUAAACUAAACAAAUUUUAUUACAUAGAAUUAAAAGGGCCGGGGAUUGGCCCAUGGAGACUACUUUAAUUUAUAUUGUUUGGUAUUAUGAUUUAAUCUGUUAUUUAAAUUGAUUUCGUGUUUAACAUAGAGAGAGAGAGAGAGAGAGAGAGAGAGAGAGAGACACACACACACACACACACCCCAAUGAAUCUGUAAAAUUGUCAUCCCAUUAACAUAGCUUCAAAUCAAUUGAAUUCAAAACAAUUUUGAGGAGGCAUUCCUAUUAUGCACCUGAUCAAUUUUGAUGAAUGUGCAUGUCUUUCUUCUUUUUCUCAAAAAGUAGGCAUAAUUCCUAUUUUGUACCUGAUCAAUAAGAAAAUCAACUUUAUUAGUAAUGUUUUUUUUAUCAUGGGAACCAAUCAAAACAUUUUUAAUGCAUGACAGGUAUAAUGGAAAUAUUAUGAAUAUAUCCGUCAUUAGUGUUUGAACUAAAAAUAUCACUCGCUCUCAUCAAUGUUUAAUAAUUAAUUCAAUACUGAGUCAAAUUUCCUGUCUUUUCUAGACCAACUGAUCAAUCUUGUGACUAUGCAUUUGCUCAUCUGAACUAAAAUAUCAUUCCUUCUUCAUAUUUUUCCAAGUUAAAUUAAAGAAAAUAAAAAUCUCAAUCAUUUAAUCUAGCACUGUCAGCACAUUAGUAUAUCUGUAACAAGAGCUCAAAUGAAGCUCUUGCACGACAUUAAUGAAGAAUUGUUUUGGAACCAAUGCGGUCAUUACAUUACGUUGCAAUAUUACCUCGCUAACAUCACUGUGCAAGUUCCCAUUAUUUAUUUUAAUGAAGACAUUACUCUAUAAAUAUGUUUAAGGGAUCAUAAGAAAGUGAUUAAGAGCUCUAGCUAAUAUAGGUUCUAGUUAGCACGUAGUAUUGCACAAACUUUAAGCCUGCACUACAUCAUUAAAUAGUUUUAUCGACGGAUUAAUUCUGUCGGUGUGAGACAUAAAAACCGUCGGCAAUACUUUUACCGACGGAUUCGCCGACGGAAUAAGUCCGUCGGAGGCAUGAUCAUCGGUAAUUUUUCUUUCCGUCGUCAAUUUUGUCGGUAAUUACAAAAAACCAAGCACCGACAGUAUUACAGAUGGCUAAGUACCAACGGAAUAAUUCCCGCGAGAAAUUUACCGACGGAAUAAUUCCAUCUAUAUUUUCAACGGUAAUUACCGACGGACUAUCCAUCGGCGAUUGUGGCAUGGGCGGUAAAUAUUUCAGACUUUGUCAAAUACCGACGGAAUACAUCCGUCGGUAAUAGUCAUGGUCAAUACCGAUGGAAUUGAUCCGUCGAUGAUUGCGGCACGGCCCGUAAAUUUUUUUCAACUCUCGGUAAAAUAUCAACGGCCUGGUUCCCUCUGUAAAGCCAUCGGUAUUUAUUUAAAAUAUUUAUUUAAAAAUUAUUUAUUAAUAGUAAUAAAAACUUAAUAACCAAAUAAAUUUGUAUUAAAUAUUAAAAAUGUAAAAAUAAUGUUAAAUAAUAUUCAUCGAAAUAUUCAUUACAAAUUUAAUGUUUUAAAAAACAAAAUUAAACUAAUUAAAAUAGCGGUGGAGCUGGAGGAGGAGGUUGGUUGUUGCCGGGACCGUACAGCCAAAAAGGAGCAGCACAUGGAUCAUCACCCAUCUUUGAUCUAAUCUCCAUGACCAUUUGAUGGAGUUUAGCAUAAUCCGUUGAGAGGCGUUCAUAUUAUUGUUUCAAGGCUAAGAACCCCUCUGACUGUGUGCUUGAUAUUGAUGGAGAGCUCUCAACGGUUGAGACACUACGGGCCGACCGUAAUUUUUCGGCCGUAGUGUUGGAGAGCCCUUAGACCCGAUUUUUAUCGGGUCCACUAGACGAUCUGACCUCCAUCCACAAGUCCAGAUCGAAAUUGAGAGGUCAUCCUUUCAUUGUGCCUGGUACUUGCUGUUAACAUAGGCAGUAGUUGUUAUUGAUAGAAAUACAGCUGAAAUAAGAGUGUAAUUAUAGGAUAAGUAUCUUCCUAUAAUUUAGGCCUAAAUUAUAGGAAUGUGAUGUAAAUCAGGAUUGAUGUAAAUCAGGAUUCCUUCCUAUUUAAGGAACGAGACUCUCAUGUAAAGGGAUGGAUUCAGCCAAUUUGACAUGGUAUCAGAGCUAUACCUUUGAAUUUGUAUUCCAAAAUCCGGUUCUUUCUUGUUGUUCUCGGUUUCUGGAUUAUUAUGGAUCAGUCCUAGAUACAUAGGACUCUCGGUCUCCUAGCUCUUUGCAAUCAGUCCUAGAUACAGAGGACUCUCAGUUUCUUGGUUCUUUUGGUUUGGUUCUCGGUUGUCAGCUGAGAUUUGUAUUCUCCUUGUUCUGUGAUUUUUUAUGUAUCACUACAAAGAUGUCAAACAAUUCUGAUCUGUUUGGUGUCCGAUUUACUGGGAAGAAUUAUUCUGCUUGGGAAUUUCAGUUUCAAGUAUUUGUCACAGGAAAAGAAUUGUGGGGUCAUGUGGAUGGGAGUGAUCCAGCCCCUACUGAUGCUACAAAACUGUCUUUAUGGAAGGUCAAGGACGCUUGGGUAAUGUCCUGGAUACUAGGGUCAGUUGACCCCCUCAUUAUUCUUAAUCUGAGGCCAUACAAAACAGCAAGAACCAUGUGGGAAUAUCUGAAGAAGGUUUACUAUCAAGAUAAUAAUGCUAGACGUUUUCAAUUAGAAAACGACAUCUCUAAUUAUUCUCAAAGCAAUCUUUCUAUUCAGGAGUAUUAUUCUGGUUUUCAGAACCUAUGGGCAGAAUAUACUGAUAUCAUUUAUGCCCAGAUUCCAGCAGAAUCCCUCUCGGUUAUUCAGAAGGUGCAUGAGUAGAGCAAGCGUGAUCAAUUUCUCAUGAAAUUGAGAUAUGAAUUUGAGAUUACUCGCUCGAAUUUGAUGAACCGAGCUCCCUUGCCUUCCUUGGAUGGUUGUUUUGGGGAAUUACUGCGGGAAGAACAACGAAUCCUUACACAAAGUACUCUAAAGCAGGACAACCCAGUUGCAGUUGCCUUUGCUGCCCAGGGAAGAGGUAGAGGCCGGAAUAUGGGCAAUGUUCAGUGUUAUAGCUGCAAGGAAUAUGGCCACAUUGCUAACAAUUGUAGAAAGAAGUUCUGCAAUUAUUGCAAACAUCAAUGGCAUAUUAUCAAGGAGUGUCCCACUCGCCCUCAAAACCGGAAAAUACAGGCCUUUCCAGCGGUGGUAUCUGAAAGCUCAUCUGUGACAGUCGCUACCAAUUCUCUUACUCUAGAAAUGGUGCAGCAAAUGAUCAUUACAGCCCUCUCGGCCCUAGGGCUACAAGGUAAUACUUCCAAUUCACAACUUUGGCUUGCUGAUUCCGCUGCUUCAAAUCAUAUGACCAACUCAUCUAGUAUGCUUAAGAAUGUGCGAGAGUAUCAUGGUUCAUCACAGAUUCAGGUUGCUAAUGGUGGUCAUAUACCCAUCACUAAAAUUGGAGAUAUUGAUCCCACCUUCACGAAUAUUUUUGUAUCACCGGAACUGUCUACUAGCCUUAUUUCAGUUGGUCAACUGGUGGAUGAUAACUGUGAUGUGCAUUUUUCUCGUAAUGGUUGUCUUGUGCAGGAUCAGGUGUCGGGGAAAGUAAUCGCGAAGGGGCCUAAAGUUGGACGCUUAUUUCCGCUGCAUUUUUCCAUUCCUAGUUGUCUUUCUUUUGCAUGCUCGAAUGUUCUAAAUAAAAGUGAAGUCUGGCAUAAACGUUUAGGCCAUCCAAAUUCUGUUGUUUUAUCGCGAUUGUUGAAUUCUGGUUUGUUGGGAAAUAAAGAUAAAUUUUCUUCUUUCGAUGCUUUGAUUGAUUGUUCAACAUGUAAGUUAGGUAAGAGUAAAACUCUUCCUUUUCCUUCUCAUGGUAGUCGUGCCACAAAAUGUUUUGAUAUUAUUCAUAGUGAUGUUUGGGGACCUUCACCGAUACUUUCUCAUGCUCAUUCCAAGUACUUUGUAACUUUUAUUGAUGAUUAUAGUAGGUUUACUUGGGUAUACUUCCUACGUUCCAAAUCUGAGGUUCUUUCCGUCUUUAAGACAUUUCUUGCCUAUGUUGAAACCCAAUUUUCUACUGGUAUUAAGGUAUUAAGAUCUGAUUCGGGUGGGGAAUAUAUGUCACGUGACUUUCAUGAUUUGUUACUACAAAAAGGCAUUAUUUCACAUCGUUCUUGUCAAUAUACACCUCAACAAAAUGGGGUUGCUGAGCGUAAGAAUCGACAUUUGUUGGAUGUCACUAGAACCUUAUUGCUUGACUCGUCUGUUCCCUCUAAAUUCUGGGUUGAAGCAUUGUCUACUGCUGUUUAUUUAAUCAACCGUUUGCCCUCCCAAGUGUUAAAUUUCGACUCCUCUUAUUAUCGUCUAUAUCAUGAGGCUCCUAGCUACUCUGAUUUGCAUACUUUUGGUUGUGUCUGUUUUGUUCAUUUGCCUUCUAAUGAACGCCACAAACUUUCUGCUUAGUCUGCUAAAUGUGCUUUUCUAGGUUAUAGUAUUUCUCACAAAGGUUUUGUUUGUUAUGAUCUAAGUUGUAGCAAAUUUCGUGUCUCUCGAAAUGUGGUCUUCUUUGAAAAUCAAUAUUUUUUCCCUACUGCUACUCCUGCUGCAUCUUCAUUGCAUGCUCUUAUUCUUCCUCAUUUUGAGGACAUGUCGUCAUUUGAGCGGUUUAAACCUGGAAUUAUGUAUGAAAGACGGUGCCUAAUUUUGGCUCUUCCGGAUACUAACCCACCAUCUGAUACUGCUUCUGAGACUGCUUCGGUACCUUCCCCUCUGCAGCCUGCUCUUCGUCGUUCUACGAGGGUUUCUUAUCCUCCUGAUAGGUUUGGUUUCUCUGCUACUCUAUCCAAUAUUAUUGUUCCAUCAUGUUACUCACAGGCUGUCCAGCAUGAGUGUUGUCAAACCGCCAUGCAGGAAGAACUUUGUGCGCUUCAGGAUAAUCAUACAUGGGAUCUUGUUUCAUGUCCUCUAUCGGUUAAACCCAUUGGGUGUAAAUGGGUAUAUUCCAUAAAGCUUCGCUCUGAUGGCACUCUAGACCGCUAUAAAGCUCGGUUGGUUGCUCUGGGGAAUCGACAAGAAUAUGGGGUGGAUUAUGAAGAGACUUUUGCCCCCGUAGCUAAAAUGACUACUGUGCGCAUUAUUAUUGCCAUUGCUGCUUCACAGGGUUGGCCACUUCAUCAAAUGGACGUCAAAAAUGCGUUUCUUCAUGGUGAUCUCAAAGAGGAUAUUUAUAUGGCACCUCCACCGGGUUUGGUUUCAUCUUCUAAAUCGGUUGUUUGUAAAUUGAAGCGGUCCUUUUAUGGUUUGAAACAAGCUCCCCGAGCAUGGUUUGAUAAGUUUCGCACUACCUUGCUUCGCUUCUCUUUUGUGCAAAGCAAAUAUGAUUCUUCAUUAUUUCUUUGCACAACAUCUACUAGGUAUGUUUUCCUACUUGUUUAUGUCGAUGACAUUGUCAUUAUAGGCACUGAUUCGACAUUGAUUAACAGACUUCAGCAACAUCUUCGGGAUUCCUUUCAUAUGAAGGACCUUGGUUCUCUCACUUACUUCUUGGGUUUGGAGGUUCAUUCUUCCCCUUCUGGUAUUUAUGUGCACCAACAGAAAUACACUCAUGAUUUGAUUGCUUUGGCCGGUCUUCAAGCUUCUUCUCCAGUGGAUACUCAUUUGGAGGUGAAUGUUAAGUUUCAAAGUGAUGAUGGGGAUCUUCUUCCUAAUCCAUCUUUGUAUCGACAACUUGUUGACAGCUUGAAUUAUCUUACUAUUACUUGACCUGAUAUCUCCUUUGCAGUUCAGCAAGUCAGUCAAUUUAUGCAAUCUCCUCAUCAUCUACACUUAGCAGCAGCCCGUCGCAUCAUUCGAUAUCUACUUGGUUCUUCUAACUGUGGUCUAUUCUACCCAGCUGGAUCUCCUAUUAGUCUUGUUGCAUACAGUGAUGCCGAUUGGGCUGGUUGUCCUGAUACCAGACGCUCUGUUACAGGUUGGUGUAUGUUUCUUGGUGAUUCCUUGAUUUCUUGGAAACGUAAGAAACAAGAUCGAGUCUCCAAAUCCUCCACCGAAUCUGAAUAUCGCGCCAUGUCCGCUGCCUGCUCAGAAAUUGUUUGGCUUCGUGGCCUGCUUGCCGAGAUGGGAUUUCACCAGACUACUCCUACUCUCCUCCAUGCAGACAACACGAGUGCUAUUCAGAUUGCUACGAAUCCCGUCUUCCAUGAGCGCACCAAACAUAUUGAAGUGGAUUGUCACUCUAUCCGCGAAGCUGUUGAUGCUCAUGUUAUUUCUCUUCCACAUAUCUCCACCGAUCUCCAGAUUGCUGACGUGUUCACCAAAUCCAUGACUCGACAACGACAUCAGUUUUUGGUUGGCAAAUUGAUGCUUAUUAAUCAUCCAGCAUCAAUUUGAGGAGGGAUGUUAGCAUAGGCAGUAGUUGUUAUUGAUAGAAAUACAGCUGAAAUAGGAGUGUAAUUAUAGGAUAAGUAUCUUCCUAUAAUUUAGGCCUAAAUUAUAGGAAUGUAAUGUAAAUCAGGAUUGAUGUAAAUCAGGAUUCCUUCCUAUUUAAGGAACGAGACUCUCAUGUAAAGGGAUGGAUUCAACCAAUUUGACACUUGCAGGUGAAUUGACCCCGCUGUGAAGGCACACCGCCUCUGAGCUGUGAAACCGCGCUAGAAGUGGCGGCAUCACAAGUUGGCGCAGAUGCAUCGCCGUGAUCAGCACCUAAGAAGAUGUCCUCCUCGCUGCUAGAAGAACUAGCUGCAACCGUAUGCUGACGACGUGCUGUAGAUUUCAUUCGACGCAUCUACACAAAUGUAUAUGAAUUAUAACAUAAUUAACUUUGAUUAUUUAAAAACAAUUCAGCAGCACCUCCCCUAUACUGGAGACUACCUACAGUUUUCAAAACUGCAAUCUUUACAAUAACCACAAUCCAUAUAAUCUCCAGCAACAUCAUAUAUACAACCUAAUAUCUAUAGAAAUUCAAUCAUUAAAAAAAAUUCGACAGCACCUCCCCUAUUUUGGAGACUACCCACAGUUUUCAAACCUGCAAUCUUUACAAUAACCACAAUCCAUAUAAUCUCCAGCAACAUCAUAUAUACAACCUAAUAUCUAUAGAAAUUCAAUCAUUAAAAAAAAUUCGAUAGCACCUCCCCUAUAUUAGAGACUACCCACAGUUUUCAUACCUAUAAAUAUUGAUAAUUACACAAAUAUUGCAAAAUCAACUCUAUACAACCUAACAUCUAUAGAAAUUCAACGUCUAUAUAUUUUCAACUACCAUCAAUACAAAUUCAUAAAUAACAAUUAAAAUUAAUCAAAAUAAGAAACAACAUAACUAAAAAAAAUAAAUAGAAUGAAAAAAUAAAAAAACUAAUUAAAUUUAAUUCUAUAUUUCAAUUCACAUUUAAAACAUAAAAUAAAAUGAAAAAACUAAAUAACACUACACAAAACAUCCUAAAUACAAAACAAACAAUACACAAAACUAAAAAAACACUACAUCAAUUCAAAAUAAAUUUAGGAAUAAAAAAAUUGCUUACCUUAAAGUGUGUUGAUUUUAAGAUUUUAUCUACAAACAAUACACAAAACAAAGAACACCAAAAAAAUAAUGAUAAUUAAAAUAAAAAAAUAAAAAAAAUACAAAGAUAAAGAAAAAAGAUUACAUACCUUUUAAUAUGUUUAAAACUACCACCACAACAAUAAAAUCUCUUUCAAAAACUAAACUCAAACGGAGAGGAGAAGAGAAAUAGAGAUGAGAGCCGAGAGAAAAAAUGAACCAAAUGGGGGGGUUUUAUAUACCAAUUUUUCUGACGGUAUUACGACAGACCAUUAAUUGUUGUCGGUGGCAUUAAAUUCCGUCUGUAAUUUCUGCCGGUAAUAAAUUGAUAUUCGCACCAAAAAUUUUGAAAAUCCCGCCUGACUUUUCGAUCCGUCGGAAACAGUGCCGCCUGCAAUUCCAUCGAUAAGCGUGCUGACCGACCACGCCUCUGACAGGCGUGCACUUCGGGAUGUGCGCUUUCCAUCGGUGUACCCGUCGGUAAUUGUGGUACAAGUCCGUAAUUUUUUUCCAACUCUCGGUGAACUACCAACGAGUACCAAUCCAUCGGUGUACCCGUCGGUAAUUAUGGCACAAGUCCGUAAUUUUUUUCCAACUCUCGGUAAAAUACCGACGGGUACCAAUUUGUCGGUGUACCCCUCGGUAAUUUUACCAAUCCGUCGAUGUACCCGUCGGUUUUUGUGGCACAAGUCCGUAAUGUUUUUCCAACUCUCGGUAAAAUACCUGAUUAGAGACCAAAUACAAUGUCACCGUACUCUGACACAACAUCAAGCAAUUCUUCACCGGAAAGACGCGGGGGUGCAACAUCCUUUUCAACUCUACCAACAAAGAAAUCAUUUCUGUUCUUUUUGUACCUAUGAUUCAGCGGCAAGAAACGACGGUGACAGUAAAAAAAAGAAGCUUUACCCCCGUUUGUUAGCGUGAAUGCCUUGUUGUUCUCCAUACAGUAUGGACAUGCUAGCUUUCCAUGCGUACUCCAACCAGAAACCAUUCCAUAAGCUGGAAAACCAUUGAUAGUCCACAUCAAAGCCGCUCUCAUAACAAAAUUAUGUUUCCUCGAGAUGUCAUAAGUCACAGCUCUAGAGAACCACAACUGCGUCAACUCAUCAAUCAACGAACGAAGACAAACAUCUAUAUUCCGACCCGGACAACUCGGACCUGAUAUGACUAUAAAUAAAAACAUGAACUCCGGCCUCAUACACAUCCCCGGUGGCAAGGUAUAAAUCAUCAGCAUGACCGGCCAACAAGAAUAAGAAGCAGCAAAUGACCCGAAUGGGUUAAAUUCGUUUGUACACAACCCAAGACGCACGUUCCUUGAUUCAGCUGAAAAGUGAGGAUGCACAAUGUUAAAGUGUUUCCAGGCUUCACCGUCAGAAUGAUGCACCAUCACUCCAUCAACCGCAUGAUGUGAUUGUCAUGUCAUGUGCUCAGCAGUCCUUGGUGACAUGAAUAACCUCUGCGGUCUAGGCGUGAUUGGGAAGUAUCUAAGUUUUUUAUAUGCCACGAGAGUCUUCCCUCUACCAGUUCUGGGUUUGUAACGGGAAUGCCCACAUGUCAUGCACUCAGUCAGCUCAGCAUUUUCAAGGUAGUAUAACAUGCAGAAGUUAGGGCAAAUGUUAAUUUUCAAGGUAGUAACCUAAACCGAGGGGUUUCAUCAUGAACUUGGCAACAUAGAAGUUCUCUUUCAGCCUGUUCCCUUCAGGUAAAAUGCUUCUCGCCCAUUCGAUAAUCUUGUCAUAACCGGCCUCACUCAACUCGUGAUCUGACUUGAUGGUGAACACCUGUGCUACGACCGAUAAUUUACUGUGGUUUGUGCAGCCAUCCCAUAAUAGUUCGUCAAAAUCUUUCAACAGAUCAAAAAACUUUGCUGCAUCUGCAUUAGGUUCUUCUUCUACGAUUGGAUAUUCACUGACAUUACCUUCACUCAUUCUCAUUGCAUCCAUAACCAUAUUCCUGUAAGGAUUACUGUUCUCAUUUCCAACUUCAUGCAUGUUGCUAGCACUAGAAGUUGACCCGACCACCCUUUCAACCAUGCUCUCAUUAGGAACAAAUAGUUCUCCAUGUGCAUACCAACACAGGUAAUCCUCCAUGAACCCUUUCGUUAGAAGAUGCAUCGUUACAACAUCUUGAUGCAGAAACUUUAAUUUUUUACACUUCUGGCAUGGACAUCUAAUACCGCGAUCAGUAAAAUUUCUUGGGAUAGAUGUUGCAAAAUUAAUAAAACCCUGAACACCGUUACAAUAAUCCAUCCUCCGCAAUCCUUGGGGUGAGUCCCGGUACAUCCAUGAACGAUCAUCCAUGACUUCUAUUGAAUCUCUAUAAAACAUAACAAAAAUAUUGGUUUCUUAUGUUAAAUAUUCAUUAUCAAUUAUCCAACAAACUAAAAAAACACUUAUGUUAAAUAUUCAUUAUCAAUUAUCAACUAUCAACGUUCAUACAUACAAAUUUAUACAUAUAUAAAUUUACAGAAAUCACAACUUCGCAAUAGAAUUGAUAACAAUUAAAACAGACCCGUUAAACAAGCUAUUAUUUAUUUCAUCACAACACAUCUAAUUCGGUGUAAUUCAAACAAAAUUUCAACAAUUUACAAACAAAUACAAUUUGACAAAAUCUAAAACAAACUAUAACAACUACAAAAUUAUACAUUCAUACUACAAGUUUCUUCGACAAAUAACAAUCAAACCAGUACAUACGUUAACAAAAUACAUAUACUAAAAACAAUAAAAUUCACAUUUAAAUGUUAAAACUAAAAAGGAUAGAUUUACUUACAAAAAAUAAUAAAAUCCACAAGAACGGAUGUUGUGACCACGUACAAACGUAUAAGAAACUUGAGUGCUUGUGUUGAGAAGAGGGGAGAGUUGGGAUGGGUGGUUGGCUGCAGUUUGGGAGGGGAGAGGUGGGAUAGGGAAGAAGAAGGAGAAACAGAGGAAGAGAGUGUCGGCAGAGUGGGUAUAUACUGGCUUUUACCGAUAGAAUCACCGACGGCCACGUUUCGUCGGUAUACCUGUCGGUGAUUCCGCCGGUGGAAGUGUCACGUCGUUGUACGGCUAUCCCAGUUUGAAUCCCUCGGUAAUGUCGUUGGUAAAAUCAUCUGAAAAAAUUCACGUCAUCACGCCGUUGCAACUUAAAAAAAAAAAAGGUGUCUUGGCCGUCGGCGAUACAGUCGGUAUAUACCGACAGACGUAUUUCGUUGGUAUAUACCGACCGUCUCCCCGACAGAAUAUAUCGGUCAGUAAAUACCGACAGAUUUUGAGACGGAAUUAUUUCCGUCCGUAAAAAUUUCUGACGAAAAAUAUUCCGUCGGUAAUUUCGUUGGUGUUAUCUGAUUUUCUGGUAGUGGUGCUUAUAUAUUGUGGUCAAAGCUUCCCUACCCAUUUUCGUUAAUACUAUACCGAUGGUUGAGCUCAUCAUAAACAAACUGCUAACCUCCGCAGACAUCAGAUGCCGUCUAGCAUACCCUACAAAAAAUCUGUAGGCUUUCCCAAUGCCCACAGGGAAACAUAAUGUCUAGUUCAGAGUAACAGACACCCUUGGGCAAGCAUGGAACCCUAAGCUGUCUGUUCGGAUUCAUGGCCCUUACAAGAAACCUGUCAUCACAGGUGAUUGGUUACAGUUCUCUCGCAAAAAAGGCCUCGCGGUGGGAGACAGAAUCGUUCUGAGCAGGGAGAUCGAUGGGAAAAAUGGAAAAGGAUACAGCAUUAACACCCAAAGGAGGAUAUUUAAUGGUCGGGUCAAUGGUGAGCAAUGAGUAGUCGCCUACUCCAUGUCUUCUGUUUUAAAUUUAUGAUCUAUGCUUUGUUGUGCUGCCCGACUCUCAUAAGAAUUAAUAAAUUUUCUUCCCUUUCUCUAUCCAGCCAGAAAAGAGGGAGGCUGCCUUAUCUCAUAUAUAUAAUCGUACCCUUUUCAUUUUAGAUUAUGUGUGACAAAAUGCUUUUUUGGUGUUAUAUAAUGUGCAGGCAGCAUUAUAUGAUGCAAUGAUGAAGUAAUAUGACUUUUAGAAACGCGUUUGAACGACAUUUUAAAAAAAAAUUAUAUUUUUGAAUUUUUUGGAUAUAUUAAAAUUAAAAUUAUUUUUUUAAAAAAAUUAUUUUAAUAUAUUUUUAAAUAAAAAAUAAUUUUAAAAAUAAUUUUUGUUAUUCUCUCCAACACCUAUAAAUAAUAAUUUCUAUGAAUUGCUGCAGGUACGGCAUUAACUAAGAGCGUGUUUGGCAGUGUGGUUGCGGGUGCUUUUGAAAUAGCUUUUCGUGCCGAAAUGCAUGCCAAUGAUGUUUUUUUAUUUUUUAAAAAUUAUUUUUGACAUCAGCACAUCAAAACGAUCCAAAAAGUACAAACCGCACUCAAUUUUAGCAAAAAAAAAAAAUCAAAUUUGGACGAAACGCAGGUACAAACGCAAUACCAAACGUUCUCUUAGGAACUACGAGUAUUUUUUAGAACACGGUUGAAACCGUAUUUUUUUAAAAUUUAAAAUUUAUUUUUUUUGUUAAAAAUUAUUUUUUUAUAUUUUUAGAUUUUUUUGAUGUCCUAAUAUCAAAAAUAAUUUUUUUAAAUAAAAAAACAUCAUCUUAAUACAUUUAUAAAUAAAAAAUAAUUUAAACCACAAACAUUAUCACAAUCUCAAAUAGUCUAUUAAUUACCUUGACCUUUAGAAUUUGAUCACUCACAUUAUAUUUCAAGAAUCAAAACAUAUUUUUAAAAAAAAAAAUCAAAACAUAUUUAAUUAGUAUGUUGUAUGUUCAAAGUUUUCUGUAAUCACAGGUAAUGUGUUAGGUACUGUGUUUAAAUAAUGUUUUUUAAAAAUUUUAAAUUUUUUUAUUUUAAAUUAAUAUAUUUUUAAUAUUUUUAAAUCAUUUUGAUAUGCUAAUCUUAAAAAUAAUUUUUAAAAAAAUAAAAAAAUAUUAUUAAUAUAUUUUUUUAAUAAAAAAUACUUUAAAAAUUAAUUGUAAGCACACUAUUAAUGUAAAUAUACAAAGAAAACCAUCUAGGUGGUGGCCCAGUGAUAAGAGCUUGAGACUAAGAAAUUUGCUUCCUCUGUGGUCUCAGGUUCGAGCCUUGUGGUUGCUCAUAUGAUGGCCACUGGAGGUUUACAUGAUCGUUAACUUCAGGACCCGUGAGAUUAGUCGAGGUAUGCGCAAGCUGACCCGGACACUUAAACUAAUAUAUAUAUAUAUAUAUAUAUAUAUAUAUAUAUAUAUAUAUAUAUAUAUAUAUAUAUAUAUAUAUAUACAAAGAAGCUUGGCCCAUUUAUAUCAUGACGUUCAUGCUGAUCCCAAAAACCACUUGAUGCGACUUAAUUUCUUCAUUUGAGAAAAAGCAAAUCAAGAAAAAAGAAAGCAUAAAAAGCCGUGCCAGCUGAUAUCUUUUCAAAGCAUCACAAUAUCAAAUUAUCGGCACCCAACUUAAGACCCUACGUACAACAAUAAUUUGUAAUCAUAUUAUUAUUAUUAUUAUUAUUAUUAUAUUAUUAUAAUAUAUACUAAAACAGCUCAGUAUUUUAUUAUCCAAGUCUUCAAUGAAAUACUAGCAGUCUGUUUUUUUUUUUUCUUAAACUGAGCUGUUUUUUUUUUUUUUUUUUUUUUGAGCUGUCUUUUUUUUAAUGUCUUUCAAGGUUUUUUUUUACUUCUUUCUUUGUUUGUUUCUUUUAAUAUUUUUUUUUGUUUAAUUUAAUUUAUUAAUGUUAAAUUAUUUUUAUUUAGUUAUUAGACUUUCAUUACACGGAUCCCGGGUUUAACAGGUUAACUUGGUUUGACAAGUUAACCCAGAUUUUUUUUUGUUUUUUUUGUUUUUAAUUAAUUUCUUUUGUUUACUUUAGUUUGUUAAUGUUAAAUUUCUUUCUAUUUAGUUAUCAGAAUUUCAUGACACAUAUCCCAGGUUUGACGGGUUAACCUGGUUUCACUGGUUAACCCAUUUAUUUUUUUUGUUUUUUUUCUUUUAAUAAAUUUUUUUUAUUUAAUUUAGUUUGUUAAUGUUAAUUUUUUUUAUUUAGUUAUCAGACUUUCAUGACACGGAUCCCGGGUUUAACGGGUUAACCUGGUUUGACGAGUUAACCCGGAGUUUUUUUUUUGCUUUUUUUCUUUUUAAUUAAUUUUUUUCGUUUAGUUUAGUUUGUUAAUGUUAAAUUUCUUUCUAUUUUGUUAUCAGGCUUUCAUGACAUAUAUCCCGAGUUUUAUGGGUUAACCUGAUUUCACGGAUUAACCCAGUUAAUUCUGAGUUAACCCGUCAAUUUUUUUUUCUAUUUAGUUAUCAAACUUUCAUGACGCGAAUCCCGGGUUUGACGGGUUAACCUGGUUUGAAGGGUUAACCCAAUUAAUUCAGAUUUUUUUUCUUUUUCUUCAUUAGUUUUUUUCUUCAUGUUGGUUUUUAUUCAUUAGUUUUUCUUUUUUUAAUUAAUAUAUUUAAUUAUCACACUUUUAUAACACGACCUUGCAGCUAGACCUGCAUCCAAAGCUCUUGGGUCUGGUGUUGCAGCCAGACUCACUUAAACUUGAGUCAUGUAAGUUAAAUAUUAUUAUUAUUAUUAUAAAUAUUAUUAUUGGGUCAAGCAUUGCAGCUAUAGCCAAGGCUUUUGGGUAUCUAUUUACAGAAAAACCUAACACUCUUAGACCUUAGCUUUUUUUAUAUUUUUUAUGCAAGAAAAAAAAUAACCCGUGGUGCAUGCCUUUGUUUUUUUUCCUUUCCUUUUCCUUUUUAAGCCUUUUACUGUGGAUUGCACAGUGCAGUCCACAGUGAAAAAGUUGAUGCCUUUAGUUUUUUUUUGCCUUUUUGUGUGUUUUUGUUUAGUAAUUAAUUUUUUUAAUUUACUUUCUUAAUAUUAAAUUUUUUCUAUUUAAUUAUCAUACUUUUAUGACACGGAUCUCAGAUUUGAGGGGUUAACCCAGUUGAUUCAGAUUUUUUUUCUUUUUCUUCAUUAGUUUUUUUCUUCCCGUUGAUUUUUUCCUCUUUGCUUUUUCCUUUUUAAUUAAUCUUUUUUUUUUAAUUUAGUUCAUUAAUAUUAAAUCUUUUUUCUAUUUAGUUAUCAUAUUUUCAUGACAAGAAUCCAGAUUUGACGGGUUAACCUGAUCUGGCGGGUUAACCCAGUUGAUUCAGAUUUUUUUUCUUUUUCUUCAUUAGUUUUUUUCUUUCAAUUUUUUUUUAUAUUGUAUGCAGUACUCAGUGAAAAGGCUGAUGCCUUUAGUUGUUUUUUUUUCUUUUUUUUUCUUUUUAUGCCUUUUCACUUUGGAUUGCACAAUGCAGUCCACGGUGAAAAGGCUGAAACCUUUUUCUUCUUUUUUUAUUAAUUUUUUUUUAAUUUAGGUUGUUGAUAUUAAUUUUUUUUCUAUUUAGUUAUCAGACUUUUAUGACAUGGAUUUCAGGUUUGACGGGUUGACCCAGUUAAUAUAGAUUUUUUUUCUUUUUCUUCAUUAGUUUUUUUUCUUCUUAUAGGUUUUUUUCCUUUUAUUUUUUCUUUUUAAUUAAUAUUUUUUUUGUUUAAUUUAGUUCAUUAAUAUUAAAUUUUUCUCUAUUUAGUUAUCGACUGAUGCCUUUAGUUUUUCUUUCUUUUUCUUUUUCUUUUUUUGUUGUUUUUAUAGCGUUGACUGUGGAUUGCACAGUGCAGUCCACAGUAAAAAGGCUAGUGCUUUUUGUUUGUUUUUGUUUUUUUUCCUUUUUAAUUAAUUUUUUCUUUUAAUUUGGUUUGUUUAUGUUAUUUUUUUUAUUUAGUUAUAAGACUUUCAUGACACGGAUCUCAAGUUUGACGGGUUAGCCCAGUUAAUUCAGAUUUUUUUUCUUUUUCGUCAUUAGUUUUUUUCUUCAUAUAGGUUUUUUCUUCUUUUUUUUCUGUUUUUAAUUAAUUUUUUUUAAGAUUUAGUUUGUUGAUAUUAAAUUUCUUUCUAUUUAGUUAUCAGACUUUCAUUACACGGAUCUCAGGUUUGACGGGUUAACACAGUUAAUUUAGAUUUUUUUUUCUUUUUCUUCAUUAGUUUUUUUCUUCCUAUAGGUUUUUUUUUUUCUUUUAACCCAAUUAGUUUUUUUUUUCUUUUUGCUUUUUCGCCGUUUCUAUGCCUUUGACUGUGGACUGCACACUGCAGUCCACAGUGAAAAAGCUGAUGCCUUUUAUUUUUUUCCUUUUUAAUUAAUUUUUUUUUGUUUAAUUUAGUUUGUCAAUGUUAAAUUUUUUUUCUAUUUAGUUAUCAAACUUUCAUGAUACGGAUCUCAGAUUUGACGGGUUAGCCCAGUUAAUUCUGGGUAACCCGUCAAUUUUUUUUUUAUUUAGUUAUCAAACUUUCACGACACAAAUCCAAGGUUUGACGAGUUAACCUGGUUUGAAGGGUUAACCCAGUUAAUUCAUAUUUUUUUUCUUCAUUAGUUUUUUUCUUCAUGUUGGUUUUUUUUCUAUGUUUUUUUUAAUUAAUCUAUUUAAUUAUCACACUUUUAUGAUACGACCUUGCAGCCGGACCCACAUCCAAGGCUAUUGGAUCUGAUAUUGCAGUCAGACCCACUUAAACUUGGGUUAUCCAAGUUUAAUAUUAUUAUUAUAUUAUAAAUAUUACUCUUGGGUCAGGCGUUGCAGCCAAACACAAGGCUCUUGGAUAUAACUUUGCAAAAAAACUUAAAACUUUUAGAUUUUAACUUUUUUUAUAUUUUUUAUACAAAACAAAUAGACUCACGGCAACGCGCGGGUCAUCUAACUAGUAACAUAUUCUAAAACGCAUGGGAAAUUACUGUAGUUUUCCCACGCGUUUUACACUCUCUCUAUUAUUAAUAUAUUAUAUUAUUAUAACUAUUAUUAUAUUAUAUUAUAUUAUAACAUAUACUAAAGAGUAAAUAAAAUGCUGAACUUUUUUUUAAUUUUUUUCUUUUAAUGAAUUGUUUUUUGUUUAAUUUAGUUUGUUAAUGUUAAAUUUUUUUAUUUAGUUAUCAGACUUUCAUGAAACGGAUCCCGGAUUUGAUGGGUUAACCUAGUUUGACGAGUUAACCCGGAAUUUUUUUCUAUUUAAUUAAUUUUUUUCGUUUAGUUUAGUUUGUUAAUGUUAAAUUUUUUUCUAUUUAAUUAUCAGACAUUCAUGACACGUAUCUCGAGCUUGACGGGUAAACCCAAUUAAUUCUGGGUAAACCCGUCAAUUUUUUUUCUAUUUAGUUAUCAAACUUUCAAGACGCGAAUAUCAGGCUCGACGGGUUAACCCAGUUAAUUCAGAUGUUUUUUCUUUUUCUUCAUUAGUUUUUUCUUUGUUUUUUUAAUUUUUAAUUAUCACACUUUUAUGACACGACCUUAUAGCUAGACCCACAUCCAAUGCUCUUAGGUCCGGUGUUGUAGCCAGACUCACUUAAACUUAAGUCAUGUAAGUUUAAUAUUAUUAUUAAUAUUAUAAAUAUUAUUCUUGGGUCAAGCAUUGCAGCUAGACCUAAGGUUUUUGGGUAUAACUUUGAAGAAAGUCCUAACACUCUUAGAUCUUAGUAUUUUUUGAUAUUUUUUAUGCAAGAAAAAAAAAUUAACUUGUGGCGUAUGUCUUUGUUUUUUUUCCUUUUUCUUUUCCUUUUUAAGCCUUUUACUGUGGACUGCACGGUGCAGUCCACAGUGAAAAAGCUUAUGCUUUUAGUUUAUUUUUUUUUCUAUAGUUUCUUAGUAUUAAAUUUUUUCUGUUUAAUUAUCAGGCUUUCAUGACACGGAUUCCAGCUUUGAUGGUUUAACCCUUUUGAUUCAGAUUUUUUUCUCUUUUUUCAUUAGUUUUUUUUUCCUGUAGGUUUUUUUCUCUUUGCUCUUUUCUUUUUAAUUAAUCUUUUUUUUAAUUUAUUUCAUUAAUAUUAAAUCUUUUUUCUAUUUAGUUAUCACACUUUCAUGACACGAAUCUCAGGUUUGAUUGGUUAACCUGAUUUGGCGGGUUAACCCAGUUGAUUUAGAUUUUUUUUUCUCAUUAGUUUUUUUCUUCCGAUUUUAUCUUUUAAUAUUGUAUGCAGUCCACAGUGAAAAGGCUGUUGCCUUGUUUUUUUUUGCUUUUUUUUUCUUUUUAUGCCUUUCACUGUGGACUGCACGGUGCAGUCCACGGUGAAAAGGCCGAUGCCUUUUUUUUUUUUUCUUUAGUUUGUUGAUAUUAAAUGUUUUUCUAUUUAGUUAUCAAACUUUAAUGACACGGAUCUUAGAUUUGACGGGUUAACCCAGUUAAUUUAGAUUUUUUUUUCUUUUCUUCAUUAUUUUUUUCUUCUUAUAAGUUUUUUUUUCAGUUAUUUUUUCUUUUGAAUUAAUAAUUUUUUUAUUUAAUUUAGUUCAUUAAUAUGAAAUUUUUUUCUACUUUCUGGUUAAUGCCUUUUUUCUAUGUUGUUAUCUUAGGUUUGGCUAAUUAGAGAAAUUUUUUUUUCUUUUUGCUUUUUUGCCGUUUUUAUGCUUUUGACUAUGGAUUGCACAGUGCAAUCCACAGUGAAAAGGCUAAUGUUUUUUGUUUGUCUUGGUUUUUUUUUUAUUUUAAUUAUUUUUUUGUUUAAUUUAGUUUGUUAAUGUUCAAUUUUUUUCUAUUUAGUUAUCAAACUUCCAUGACACGGAUUCCGAGUUUGACGGGCUAGUCCAAUUAAUUCUAGGUAACCCGUUAAUUUUUUUUCUAUUUAGUUAUCAAACUUUCACGACACGUCCAAGGUUUGACAAGUUAAACUGCUUUGAAGGGUUAACCCAAUUAAUUCUGAUUUUUUUCUUUUUCUUCAUUAGUUUUUUUCUUUCUGUUAAUUUUUUUCUUUGUUUUUUCUUUUUAAUUAAUCUAUUUAAUUAUCACACUUUUAUGACACAACCUUGCAGCCAGACCCAUAUCCAAGGUUAUUGGGUCUGGUAUUGCAGUCAAACCCACUUAAACUUAGGUCAUACAAGUUUAAUGCUAUUAUUAAUAUUAUAAAUAUUACUUUUAGAUCAGGCGUUGCAUCCAAACCCAAGACUUUGAGGUAUAGCUUUGCAGAAAAACCUAACACCUUUAAAUCUUAAUUUUUUUGAUAUUUUUUAUGCAAAAAAAUUAACCCGCGGCAUCAAGCGGUCAUGUAACUAGUUCUCUCUAUUUUCCAGCGACUGACUCUUUAUCUUUCUCUGUUGUUUAUUCAUGGCAAAAGGUGAUAUUUUCAAAAGAGGACUUGAACUCCCUAGCGGAUGCUUUUAUUUGAAUAUAUAUAUAUAAUCAACGGAUACUCUUUCUCUUUUCCUUUCUUUUUUAUUCUUUCACGAUUUAAAAUUCUCAUGGGAGAUAUUGGAAAGUCAGCCAUGGCAACGUUUUUCCUGUAGAUUUUCUUGAGUUGUUCUGUUUGUGCUGCAAACAAAAUACAACUAUUUAGGUGUAUAUUAAUUCAGAUAAGUUGUUAGAUUUGUGGAUUGUGAUCUCCAAUCUCUUUGUUGAUGUUCAGCUUUUGAAUCAGCACAGGCAUAAAUCUCAUGAAUAUGCAGUUUUGCGGUUCUCUAUGCUUGUACCUUUUCUACGAGGGUCAUGUCAUGCAGAAGAGCAAAAUUCUGGGCUAAGUAGGUUGCCUGUGCAGCUUGGCCGACCCGUUGAAGAGAAUACUUUGUUAUUUACUUCAUCAAAGCGCUGACUUUCCCUUCCAUAAUUUUUCAAUUUUUAUUGGAUGGUGAUUUCUUUUUGUCUUAAUUAAUCAAUAUUUAUCAAAAUAUUUGAGGUUAUUUACUUCAUCAUUAAAAAAAAAACAAAUCCUCUUAAAUAAAACAAAUUUAUUACUUAUAUACUAAGACGCAUGAGAUUUUUGUUGUAUAUUUGUCAAUGCGUGAAUUUUUUUUCAGUUUGGUUCCCAAACUUUAUUUUUAGGCGAUCAAGCUCUAUUUAAGAAGUAAUUGAUUUCAAAUUCUUAUGAAAGUGUGAGAUUGAAAGAGGAGGGACCGAAAUGAAAAAUGCGGCAAACAUAAGUUAUGUACCAUAAGUUUUGAAAAUAUUCACUUUGGUCUUCCAACUUAAACAAUCAUGUAAAUUAUAUAAUUGCAAUUCCUCGAAAUUGUUCUAAUUCUAUUUUGGUACAGAGAUUUACUUUUUUUAUUUUUUUUUGUCCCUGUUUGAAAGAGGAGAGAGAGAGGUUGCCGAAUUCCGAUGGUAGAAAGAGAAAUUUGUUGUUGGCACCAAUUUAGGCCACUAAAAUGAGGGAUUUUUGUGUCAAAUUAUUCCAUUUGAUACGGAGAAUUCAUAUCAAGUUUUUUUGUACCUUAAAAGUUCGUGAAAAAACAUAUUUAAGCUCGAAUUGAUUUUUUAUUUCGGGUUGAGUUCAGUUUUUUAGGUGUUUUUUUUAGAUCGUGACUAGGUUUGUCAUGAUUUCUAAGGUGUGUUAUAAGUGUUUUGGGUCAAAAGAGCAUAAACCCUUAUUUUUUUGGCAAUCACAAUGCUCAAAAUCUAGACAAAAUAGGUGACACGUCGUCUCCACGACAGACGACGCGUCGUCUGUUAUUGAUAUGGUUGUCAUAUCUAAGGCGCUUAAACCUAGCAUGGUUACCAUGAAAAUAUAAUUUUAAAGAAUGCAAUUGAAAAUAAAUAAUGUGACGUGAUCGGUUAAAAAACUAAAAAAAAGUGAACAUAACUUUCUCUAUUUUGUUUUGUUCAGAGGGUAUCUUUUAAAUAAUUUUGAUUUUUUUUUAUUAUUCGUUUAAUUUUUGUAAAGGUUUUUCUGGUUCAUCUAUAAUUUUGUUUUUAUCUUUUAUAUAGAUAAACUAUGUUUUUUUUAAAUAUAAAAUAUUUAUUUUUAGAUGAUUUUUUUUAAUAUUGUAGCCUUACAUGUUAUUUUUUUUUAUUCAAUCAAAUUAAUGUCCUAUUUUUUAAUAUUAAAUAUCUUGAUCUACAUUUGUCUCUCGAUCUUUUAAGUUUUGUUUUUAAGUGUUAUUAAUGAUUAUUUAUUUAUUUAUUAGUAUAUAUAAUUCUUAGUUUAUUUGAUUACAUGUGUGCAUAAACCUUUUGAUUUGUUAUAUUUUUUGAACUAUUAAAAUAAAUUGAAAAAACUUGCAUACAUAAAUUUUUAUGAGAAACAAAAAUAUUUAACUCACGAUGGAGCAUGAAUCACGCAGCUAGUAGUAACUAAAUUGUGGAAUCUAACUUUUAAAAUAUGUCAUAGUCAAAUUUUUUUAUUGAAACAAACUUUAAUAUUUUUCUUUGUUUUUUUAAAUAUUAAAACAUUGUUUUGAUAAAAAAAAAUUCUUAGUUCAACAAUAAACCUGGAUUGGGUUAGAUUUUAGGUUAGAGAAUCACUGAAUUGAUAGAAGAAUUGAAUUGAUAUUCUUUUCCUCGCUACCUUAGGCCCCGUUUGUUUGCUGGAAAGUAGUUUCCAUUUGAAAAGUGAAUUCUGGAAAAAUGAAUUAUUUUCUAAUGUUUGGUAGUGUAAUGAAAAAUAAGUUGGAAAACACUUUCCAGUGUUUGGUUAUGUCAUGGAAAAUGAGCUGAAAAAUAACUUAUUAAUGUUUUAUUUUUCUCAAGUUUAUUAAAAUAAUGAGGAACAAAUCUUACAAAUUAAAAAGUUGAAUGAGAAUGAAAUUGAAAAAAAAAUAUAAUUUCAUAAAUUAUCUCAAAUCAAAUAAGUAAUAAUCAAAAUAAUAGAGAUCAAAUCUAAAAAAUAAAAAAAAUAAAAGAUGAAGAAAUUAAAAUAAUAAUAAUUAACAUUUCAUAAAUUAUUUCCAAUAAAAUAAGUAACAAUCAAAAGAAUGAGGACCAAAUUCGAUACAUAAAAAUUUUCAAUAAAAAAAUGAUAAGGGAAAAGCAAAUAACAAUUAUAAAAAUAAGGACCAAAGUUAAUAUAAAAAUUAAAUUUUAAGAGAUGAAAUUGAAAAAAUAAUAUUCAAAACAAAAUAUAUAUAGCAAUCAAAAGUUUGAGGAUCAAAUUUGAUAUAAUCAGCAAAUAAUAUGACAUUUCUAAAUUUUUCACAACUUCCGGAAAGUGUUUUCUGCCCAAAUUUUCCAGGAAAACACUUUUCUGGAAACCAAGCCAAAUUUUUCUUUGACUGGAAAGUGUUUUUCGUUGACUAACUUUUCUAAUGGCAAACAAACACAGGAAAGUUUGGAAAAUGAUUUCGCAGAAAGUGAAUUCCGGAAAACAAACAUAGCCUUAGAAGUAACUAAGUGGAAAAUAUUUGAUAUGUUUCUUAAUUCAAAUGUGGGCACGUAGCAUAAUAUGACUCUAAUAUGUAAACCUAAGACCCAUGAUCAUCACACAAAAUAUGACUACAACAAAUAACAAAAUUAGAGUUAUAAGUUUGCUAGACACUAACAUCUAAAACACAAACCAAAACCCCUUUCUCCAAGCCUCUUAAGCCAUCUCUAACCACAUCCUUGAGCGAAGAGAAACUUGGAUGGAUCGAGAGUAAGUUGAUGAAUAUUAUGACCGCAUUCGAGAGUCCAUUUCUGCCUCACAUUUUGCUUUACAAUUAUGCAAAACCAAAUUCCAGAGAUCAGGCAAUAAAAUAUAUCCAUUCUGUGACGGUUGUAUCUCUUCAAGAUCGAGCUAAUCACUCAAGCUCAAUGUGUUUUUUGUCACGACCAUCUUGGUCCAGGAUUCAACAUUACCAUACUCCUCCUUUAAUCAUAUAUUGAUAUCGUUCAGUAUUAAAAAUAAAUACAAGAUGUAAAAAAUGAAAUGUUAAAAUUCAAACUUUAGAACAGUUAAGAUUUAACCCGAUAAGAUAAAAACUCUCUUAUGAAUAGAGAUCUGCCUUGAACCGUAAACAAGAUCAACAAAUAUAAACACGACCUAGAAAAACAAUCAAACAACAAUGUAGUUUAUCUUAAAUAAAACAAUCAAACAAUAAGGGGUUGCACAACUAGUCUCUUACCCGAAUUCUCAUAUGCCAUAAGUUUUUAAUAAUCAUGAUAUUAAAUGAAAAUUCCUGAAACUUAAUUAUAAUUUUAUGAUUGAACCAAAAUUUAUUUCUUUUCCUAACAAUACCACACCUCAUCAAAAGACACAAUAAAAUAUCUCCCGUCAUCGACGAUGUCGCGGCGCACCCCGCGACACUCUUCUGUUUUACAUCUGCUGGUUAUUUGAUUUGCUGUUGAAAUUUUCUCUAUUUUCCAUGUUGAAGGUGUGGUGGUUAUACUUUUGAUUGAUUUAAUUUGCUGUUGGGAGUUUGGUUUUCUGGUUUGUUUGGAUGGGUAACAGAUCUGCUACUCUUUAUCCUUUUCUGUUGUUUUGUUUAUGGUAGAACUCCCACCUGGAAGUAAAGGGUGAUAUUUUCGUCUCUCUCAUCUCACUCCUCAAAGAACGCCCUGGCUCGAUGAAAAAAGAGAGGAGAUGCAUGGAUAUGGAUCCGUUGGUUAUUUCAUCUUCUGUUAGGAAAUUUCUCUAUUUUGUAGAUUGAAGUAAUAGAUAUGUCCCUCUCUUUCAUUUUUUCUUUCAUUCCUUUCUUUGAGCUUAAUUUUUUCUCCUAACUUUUUUUUUAUUUUAAAAUUAUUUUAUUGUAAUUUUUUAAAAAAAUAAAAAUAUUAUUUUAAUAUAUUUUUAAAUAAAAAAUAUUUAAAUAAAUAAUUAUUAAUAUAUAUAUAUAUAGGGAAUGGAAACUUGAACUGUAAAAUUAUAAGAAAAUUUUUUUUAGUUGUUGUCAAUUUUUUAAAAUAUAUUAAAAUAAUUAUUAAUUUUUUUAUUUUUACAUAUUUAAAUAUAUUAAUAUAAAAAAUAAUAAUAUUUUAAUAUAUUUUUAAAAAAUUUUAAAUUUUUUAAAAAUCACUCUUGGACGUCUCAAAAUAAAGAAGACGUCUUCGGUCCGGCUCAUGUUCCAAGGACGUCUCAAAAUAAAGAAGAUGUCUCAAAUAAAGAAGAGACCGAAGACGUCUUCGGUCCGGCUCAUAUUCAAAGGACGUCUCAAAAUAAAGAAGACGUCUUCGGCCCCCUCAUAUUCCAAGGACGCCACAAUUUCCUUGGACGCCACUUUCUCUGGAUUCUUCACACCCCGAUGCACAAAGGGUUUCUUCUCUUCUGUUUUAAAUCUGCUGUUUAUUGGAUGUGCUGUUCGAAAUUUUCUCUAUGUUCCAGGUUGAAAGUGUGGUGGUUAUCCUUUUGAAUGAUUUAAUUUGUUGGGAGUUUGGUUUUCUGGCUUGUUUAGAUCUGUAACAGAUCUAGGUUUUCUGGCUUGUUUGGAUCUGUUGGUUUUCUGGUUUGUUUGGAUCUGUAACAGAUCUGCCAUAAAUAUAUGGUUCUCUCUAUUUUCAAGCCACUGACUCUUUAUCUUUUUCUGUUGUUUUAUUCAUGGCAGGACUCUCACCUGGAAGUUAAGGGUGAUAUUUUCGUCUCUCCCAUCUCUCUUAUCAAAAGAGGGCCUGAAAGCUCUAGCUAGAAGGAAAAAAGAAAGAAGAGAUGCCAUGAAAGAAUUUGAUUAUUUGAUGUGUGGUUGAGAAAUUCAGCUGAUAUGAAACUGACAACAGUCCUUCUCUUCUCCCUCACCUAGUCUGGUUUUUUGUUUUUGUUUUUGUUUUUGUUUUUUUAAUCUCAGAAAACAACUCUCACCUGGUAAAGGGUGAUAUUUUCGUGUCUCUCAUCUCACACCACAAAAGAGGACUUGAACGUCCUAGAAUGAAGAGAAAAAAAAGAAUUGUUCUAGAUUUGUAAUUUUCAUGGGAGUGAUUGGCAAAAACAAUAAUAGAUGUUUGGUUCUCUCAAUGUUCCAGCCAUUGACUGUUUAUCUUUGUCUGUUUUUAUAUCGAUCAUCAUGGCCUCGGAACUCCAGGACGUCUUUUUCCUAUUUUUUCAUCUACCGCUCAGACGUGCACCCCAAAGGAGGUCUUGUUCUAGAUUUGUAAUUUUCAUGGGAGUUAUUGGCAAGAUACAUAUGGCUAUGUUUAUACUCUUAAUGAUUUGAUUUUUGAGUUGACUUUCUCGAGUUUUUCUGUUUGUGCUGAAAAAAAUAAAAAAAAUACAGCCUUUUGGAUGUCAUUUCAGAUAAAUUUUUGAUCUUUGGAUUGUGAUCUCCAAUCUCUUUGUUGAUAUUCAGCGCAUAAAAUUCAUUAAUUUGACAGAUAAAGUUUUGACUAAUUGAUUCUUUUUUGUUGCCUUGAAUUUCUACAUAUGCUGGAUAAAACAUUUGAUGAUGGCUAAAGAUACCAGGUGGGUGGAAACUCUGUACCAUAGCAUGUCCUUGUGCCAGGAACUUCUGAAUAGUACUGGAACCUCAUGUUGAAGAAACUGCUAAGUAGCUUCCUGAAGCUAAAUUUUCUGUAGGACCAGUGGUUCAGAAACACUACGCUUUUGCUUGGGUAGUUACUGGACAAAAUGCUUUCAAUCACUAUUCUCUAUCCAUUGCCUGAUCUAAAAGAUGCAAGGUAAUCAGUGGAUUUUUUUUCUUUCAAAUUCGUUUAUCUUUUUAUUGGAAAAUUUGGCAAUCUUCUAAUCCUUUAUCUAUUUGUUGUUCUUUUCAAAUUCAUUUUUAUUCAUUGCUUUUUUGUUCUCUAAUGCUGAAUUUAUUUGAAAAAAGUAGCAGGUUAAAACGAGAUUCUCAUCACAAAUCAUGAUCUCCCCUUAAUCAGAUAUAGCCUUAAAUUUGUUGGUGUACUUUGAUAUUGAUCAUUGUGUCCUCUAAUUCACUUUAUUUAAAUUGAUUUAUCAAAUUUGUGUUCAAAGUUAAUGAAUAAAUGAAAUUUAUCAUUAUGUGCUCAAAUUUAUCAAUCUUCUUCAGGGACUGGUUGAAUCUCAUGCGUGACAAAUGGCUUGCAGUUGGAGACAUAAUUGUUUUGACGAAGGAAGCAUUUGGAGAACAUGGAGUAAGCAACAUUUACCAAUUCAUCUGUUUUCUCUUGUUCUUGAUCUGCUUGAAUGAAAGGUUCUGAAUUAUAUAAUGUUGCCAAUCUAUCCAGUAUAUAAAGUGCACAAAUGGUUUUGGUUCAGUAUUAUACCUUUUGUUUUUGGGAGACAAAAAUAGCCUUGACAUAUAUCUUGUUAAUAAUACGUUUGUCUAUUGGAGUGUGUGUAUGAUCAAUUGAGUUUCAGAAAUCAAAUCAACUUUUGCAUUCCACUUUAAUUGUUGCUCUUAUCAAUAAGAAUGCAAACAUUUUCUUCCUGCUAUUCUAUAAAUUUUUGGCCAUAAAUGAAAAAACGGUAAAAUUAUAUUUUCUUUUAGUGAUUUUCUACCUAUCUUUUUGUGUACGGCCUCCAUCCUAUUAUUAUUAGCCCGUCUGCAAUUUUUAGCUGACCCAUUUUAUUUGGCCAUUUUGAAAGUCAGUUUUAUAACUAUCAGAAUUCCUAUUGCAUCCUUUAGGGCCUUUUAAAUGUACAAUACAAUAAUGCGUAGCAUCAGUUAACACAACUUAGUGAUUUUCCAAGUCAGCUAUUAUUAUUAGUGGUCCUAUUAUUAUUUCAAAGUUUUGCAAUUUGCAGGGGUCCCAUUUUAUUUCAAAGUCAAAAGUUUUAUAACUAGCAAAAUUCCUUUUGCGUCCUUUGACACCUUUUAAAUUUACAAUACAAGAAUGCAUAGUGGUCAAGACAGCUUAGGGGUAAAGCAAGAAUAGCAUGCUAAAGCCAACUCUAAUUAGUGGACUGUCGGUGCUUCCUUAAACCUUGUGUUUUUUUGUUCUUUUGUGAAAGGGCCGAUGUUAAUGGCACAGAGGGAGUAGAAUUUUCAAAUUUAACAUGUUAAAAUGAUCUUACACCAACAUGUCCUUUGUGCUAAUCAAACUCAGUACCCGAUUCAUCAUGAGAUUACUAAUCUGCAACUUAUGUUAAGAACCCUGAAUUUUGAAACUAAAUACCUUUGCCCUGUUUUCUUUCUUUUUUUGUUCGUUAAUGUUUCUUCAAUUUUGCUUUGGUCUAAAUUUUAAUGACCCUCCAAUUGACUUUGACUAUAUCCAUUCUUCUAUUCAAGAAAAAAUAUUUAAUAAUAUAUUUUUUCUCCCUUUUGUAUCAUUUCUUCUUGAUACCCUAUUAUGUAUGCAAGACAUAGUGCCACCUUUUUCUUGGUUUACCCGAUUCAUCUAUUAUUAUAGGUGAUAUUCAAUUUCAAGUACACUUAGAUUUUCUUUAUGACCUGGUAGAUAGUUGUCUCGCUCAUAGUCCUUAAUAAAUCUUCAGUAUAAUUGUUCUUCUUUCCAGUAAGCCUUCGCCAAAUUAUUUCAACUUUUUUAAACAGACACCUUUUAGGAUUUUGGUUCGCCUCUCUCUCAACCUUGAAUUUAUUUAUUUUUUUGGGGCAAGAUUCUCACUGUCUAUUCUUAAAGUUCAAUAACUAUUAAAUUUUAAUAUAGAUAAUUGUUUCUAAUACAAUGCUACCAAAAAAAAUAGUUAAGGAAAGAGGAGAUUAAAACCUUGAACAAAAUUUAGAAGCCCAAAAAAUGCAUCACAACUUUCUCUGACAAGCCCAUUUCAAACAGCCCAUUACCUUCACAAAGUCAAAAAUCUUGAUCAAAUCUAACAAAGUAAAUAAAUAAAAAUACAGUACAGAUCAAAAUCCCUAAACAGAUCAAAAUCCCUGACAAGCCUCAUUGCUGUAUCUGAAGAGAGCCUCGAUUGCAAAGAACGAAGUAAGUUUUUUUGUUUUUCUAUUUUGCAAUCAAGAAGCUCAAUUAAUAUGUAAAUUUGUUUGGGAUCUGGUUUGGUUUGUAGUCUAUGUCUGUCAGAUAUAUGUGUCAAUAGCUCCCUUAGAGCUCAAAAGAAUCUAGAUCUUGUUAAUUAAGUUCAUUAUUUGAACCUUACAAGUAAGUUUUUUGCUUUUGAAUUUCCAUUUUGAGUCAUGAAGCUCAAUUGCUAAGUGAAUUUGUUUGUUAUUCAUGGGUUCGUGUCUGCAGUCUCUUUCUGGUUAGGAAGUGUUGAGAUUUCUUGUAUAGAUACAUGUGACAAUGGUAGAUCUUAGUCUCUGUCCCAUAAAUGAAGCUCUGUAGUCUCUUUCUGGUUAGGAAUUGUUGAGAUUUCUUGCAUAGAUACAUGUGACAAUGUUAGAUCUUAGUCUCUGUCCCAUAAAUGAAUCUCUGGUUUAAGAAAUUGGGGGUUUUGUGGUUUACAGCUCAAAAGAAUCUAGAGUUAAGUUCAUUAGUUGAACUAUCCAGAGAUAGGAGAGCAGAGAAGGAUUAAUACAAUCAAGUAUUUGAUGGAAUAUGUAAGGUAGGUGAAGUGUGUGAAGAAAAGACUGAGAAAAGGAAAGAUGAGAUAUAAAAAAGAAGCAUUAUUAAAGGAAUAGAAUAAUUACAAAGAAUUCAGGAAGAAAUCAUAAUGCUCCAGAAUGAAUAUAAUUUUAUCUUUGCUUCCUCUUUACACAAGCACAAGUUCACCCACUUGAACUAACUGUUUAUCCCCUGAUUCUAACUGUCACCCAAACAAACUACUAACCCUCUUAACAAACAUUUUAUAAGAACUGCUAUGACAUGUAUGACUAUGAUGUAACCCCUUCGAUCCUUGUUAUUGAUGCUUGUCCAAUGUCAUUGAUGUAACCCUCCAUUCCUGACUCGGCACCUGUCAUAUGAAUCUUAGCAUCUCCUGCAACCCUGUCCUUGUCAUUGAUUCUGGUCCAGUGUUAUCCUCCAUUCCUGACUCAGCACCUGUCAUAUGAAUCUUAGCAUCUCCUCCUUGGAGCUGGAAAUUCUUGUGACAAAACACUUACAUCCAAACAGGUUGCAAUUUGGUCAAGAAUUCCUUAAAUGACUUACAAACGGUAAGAAUUUUACCCUUAAACAACCCAUUGCCUUUAGGCGCUUUCACAAACCCAUCUCUUUUCUGCUUCUUGUGUCAUGAUCAAUGAGUUUUGGCAAACCACAGCUCCUCUCUUCAACCCUUGCUGCUGCUACAUAGAUCUCUUGUAAGAUUAUUUUGAUCUUUUACUUGAAACAAUAAUGCCCAAAUUUUACAUUUGGGUAGAUGUGAAUGUGAGUUUGGCAGUACUAUGGCAUGGUAGAUGCUUCAUGCAUGCUCUGCAACUGCAUUAAGUUGCAGUGGCAUAUGGGAUAAAAUCAGAGCAAGUGGCUUCCAUUCUUUGAAUCGACGUAAGCUGGUUUAUGGGCUUUUGUUUGGCACGAAUCAUGUGGCAUGCAUGGUGAAGGGUUCCAGUCCCACCCCUCCCGUCCCCACUUCCCCACUUCCCCCCUUCCCUUCUCCUCAAAACAAACACUGCAAGUAGUUGCAGCAUUUAUUUUCAUCCUGAUCACUCUUUUAGUUAAACUUUGUACAUGCAUUACUUGUUUAUGUGGUCUAAAGCAGUUUUCGUUUUUAAUUGAUAGGGGAAUGGCAGGACAUGGAUGGUUUCUCCCUGCUACUGGAGUACUGGCCACAAUUAUCCAAUUGAAACCUGAAACUCUCACUCCAUCUAUUAUAAACGAUGCUAUCAUAACCAUGGCUGUUGUUGCUGUGCUCAUCCAUGUUGUAUGCAGUGCAUUUGAAGAUAUACUCGAAGCUGGUCACUUCAGAUUAAUUGCUGCCGGCACCGGUCAUCUGGCCAGAGCUCUUGCCAUUACUCUACUACUCAUAAUCUGCGUCCCAAAAAUUUGGUGGUUUCUUCUUUCCGCAUGGGUGUUGUUCUUUAUAUGGGUAACAUAUACUUUACUAUACAAUGCAGUUCACCUUCGUCAACGCCACGGCCAAGCCCAAGAGCCAAAUGAGUUGCCGAAUGAGUUGCCCUAAGAGCCAAAUAAUGAGUUGCCGAAUGAGUUGCCCUAAGAGCCAAAUAAUGAGUUGCCAGUGUAACCAUACCGAGCCCUUGAAGAGAUUCAUUUGUGUGUUCAGAAUCAUUUGUGUGUUUCUCACUGGUCGACGUCUAUAUCCAUUGAAGAGAUUCAUUUGUACGGUCGAUGAAAGACAGUUGUCUAUAUAUAUAUAAUUGCGUGGUGUGAUUGAACUUACAAGUGCUAUUUUUACCAGUAUGACCGCAACUUGGUAACGUUAUCUGUAAUAUAUUGUUUGAAUAC
This 30036-nucleotide long non-coding RNA is filed under the name Populus trichocarpa (black cottonwood). RNAcentral's name for it is "long non-coding RNA (PTRI_LNC001095)". Lineage: Eukaryota; Viridiplantae; Streptophyta; Magnoliopsida; Malpighiales; Salicaceae. The record is from RNAcentral.